CCCUUAGUACGGCGAGUGAAGCGGCAAAAGCUCAAAUUUGAAAUCUGGUACCUUCGGUGCCCGAGUUGUAAUUUGGAGAGGGCAACUUUGGGGCCGUUCCUUGUCUAUGUUCCUUGGAACAGGACGUCAUAGAGGGUGAGAAUCCCGUGUGGCGAGGAGUGCGGUUCUUUGUAAAGUGCCUUCGAAGAGUCGAGUUGUUUGGGAAUGCAGCUCUAAGUGGGUGGUAAAUUCCAUCUAAAGCUAAAUAUUGGCGAGAGACCGAUAGCGAACAAGUACAGUGAUGGAAAGAUGAAAAGAACUUUGAAAAGAGAGUGAAAAAGUACGUGAAAUUGUUGAAAGGGAAGGGCAUUUGAUCAGACAUGGUGUUUUGUGCCCUCUGCUCCUUGUGGGUAGGGGAAUCUCGCAUUUCACUGGGCCAGCAUCAGUUUUGGUGGCAGGAUAAAUCCAUAGGAAUGUAGCUUGCCUCGGUAAGUAUUAUAGCCUGUGGGAAUACUGCCAGCUGGGACUGAGGACUGCGACGUAAGUCAAGGAUGCUGGCAUAAUGGUUAUAUGCCGCCCGUCUUGAACCAACCGGACACA
Molecule: ribosomal RNA, 579 nt
Filed under: Saccharomyces cerevisiae (brewer's yeast)
Lineage: Eukaryota; Fungi; Ascomycota; Saccharomycetes; Saccharomycetales; Saccharomycetaceae
Description: partial large subunit ribosomal RNA
Rfam family: Eukaryotic large subunit ribosomal RNA
Source: RNAcentral